This is a non-coding RNA of Datura stramonium (jimsonweed), 76 nucleotides long. Lineage: Eukaryota; Viridiplantae; Streptophyta; Magnoliopsida; Solanales; Solanaceae. The record is from the annotation of a GenBank genome assembly.
GCCGCUAUGGUGAAAUUGGUAGACACGCUGCUCUUAGGAAGCAGUGCUGGUACAUCGGUUCGAGUCAGUGGCGGCA